RNAcentral lists this small RNA (97 nucleotides) under Thalassiosira gravida. Its description in RNAcentral is "partial Betaproteobacteria transfer-messenger RNA". The record is from RNAcentral. Lineage: Eukaryota; Bacillariophyta; Thalassiosirophyceae; Thalassiosirales; Thalassiosiraceae.
ACAAAAAAAUGUAAGACAUAGCUGUAAUCCACCAUCCAGCUGAGCCCGCGUCCAGCGACGGUUCGAUUCUACCUGUCCAUUCUACCUAUCCAUUCUA